GAAAUUCUGAAAUUCUUAUUACUGUUCUCAUAUGCCAUAAGCAAAAUAAAUUUUUUCCAAGCAAAAGGCAUGCAGCAUACUGCAAAAUCCUCCAGUUUUCCAAUGCCAUUAACAAUUCAGUUAUACAUCUACAUGCUCGGAAGCUUACACACUACAGAUACUAUGUAUUUUGCCCCAUCUGAUGGCAUGCAUUGCAUAUCAUCAAAGGAGAGUUCAAACAGAAUAGGCGCAAAAAAACAAAAAUAUAAAGCAUAAUGCCAUCAAUAAUUGG
Molecule: unclassified non-coding RNA, 271 nt
Filed under: Hevea brasiliensis (rubber tree)
Lineage: Eukaryota; Viridiplantae; Streptophyta; Magnoliopsida; Malpighiales; Euphorbiaceae
Source: RNAcentral